Molecule: ribosomal RNA, 410 nt
Filed under: uncultured microorganism
Description: bacterial SSU rRNA
Rfam family: Bacterial small subunit ribosomal RNA
Source: RNAcentral
CAGCCGCCGCGGUAAUACGUAGGGUGCGAGCGUUACUCGGAUUUACUGGGCGUAAAGCGUGCGCAGGCGGCCCGUUAAGACAGGUGUGAAAUCCCUGGGCUCAACCUAGGAAUUGCGCUUGUGACUGGCGGGCUCGAGUACGGUAGAGGGGGGUGGAAUUCCUGGUGUAGCAGUGAAAUGCGUAGAGAUCAGGAGGAACACCGAUGGCGAAGGCAGCCCCCUGGGCCUGUACUGACGCUCAUGCACGAAAGCGUGGGGAGCAAAAAGGAUUAGAUACCCUGGUAGUCCACGCCCUAAACGAUGGGUACUAGCCGGUUGGUGCGCGAGAGCGCUGAGUGGCGAAGCUAACGCGUGAAGUACCCCGCCUGGGGAGUACGGCCGCAAGGUUGAAACUUAAAGGAAUUGGCGGG